This 63-nucleotide transfer RNA is filed under the name Marmota marmota marmota (Alpine marmot). It matches the Rfam family "tRNA". Rfam says of the family: Transfer RNA (tRNA) molecules are approximately 80 nucleotides in length. Lineage: Eukaryota; Metazoa; Chordata; Mammalia; Rodentia; Sciuridae. The record is from Rfam by way of RNAcentral. RNAcentral also lists the same sequence under 4 other names.
GGAGGUGUAGCUCAGUGGUAGAGCACUUGUCUGACAUGUGCAGAGACCUGGGUUCCAUCUCCA